UCACCUACCGGACAGGGCAAUACCAUGAUCAAAAAGGUGGCUCACCCAGGGCGAGGGUCCGCCAUUGCACUUUGGUGGUGCUGACCCUUGAGAAUUCCCCAAAUGCGGGAGUCUUGGCUACAUAAGUGGGGUGC
This is a small nuclear RNA of Pygocentrus nattereri (red-bellied piranha), 134 nucleotides long. Its record names the gene U1. It matches the Rfam family "U1 spliceosomal RNA". Rfam says of the family: U1 is a small nuclear RNA (snRNA) component of the spliceosome (involved in pre-mRNA splicing). Its 5' end forms complementary base pairs with the 5' splice junction, thus defining the 5' donor site of an intron. The record is from Ensembl. Lineage: Eukaryota; Metazoa; Chordata; Actinopteri; Characiformes; Serrasalmidae.